Molecule: ribosomal RNA, 257 nt
Filed under: uncultured Microbacterium sp.
Lineage: Bacteria; Bacillati; Actinomycetota; Actinomycetes; Micrococcales; Microbacteriaceae
Description: partial 16S ribosomal RNA
Rfam family: Bacterial small subunit ribosomal RNA
Source: RNAcentral
CGAACGGGUGAGUAACACGUGAGCAACCUGCCCCUGACUCUGGGAUAACAGCCGGAAACGGCUGCUAAUACCGGAUAUGCACCAUGAACGCAUGUUCUGUGGUGGGAAAGAUUUUUCGGUUGGGGAUGGGCUCGCGGCCUAUCAGCUUGUUGGUGAGGUAAUGGCUCACCAAGGCGUCGACGGGUAGCCGGCCUGAGAGGGUGACCGGCCACACUGGGACUGAGACACGGCCCAAACUCCUACGGGAGGCAGCAGCC